Osmia lignaria (orchard mason bee) is the source of this 763-nucleotide long non-coding RNA. RefSeq lists it as uncharacterized. The record is from RefSeq and is a predicted model, not a curated record. Lineage: Eukaryota; Metazoa; Arthropoda; Insecta; Hymenoptera; Megachilidae.
UACAGUGACCGAUUUCAAGAUCAUCUAACUGAAAAACAUGUUUUCGAUGCCGAUCGAACGCAACUGUUUUCGAAACAAUCACUCGCAAUGCUUCCGAUUGUGUAGCCGUAAACGUAAACUGAAGCAGCCUUCGCCUAGCGUGUUUUGCUCAGUAAACGAACAGAAUCGGGAACGGCAACAUCAAAUAAGAAAUAGAGGUAGAAACAGUGCUGAUAUCGCUCAUUGGAACACGGCCUUUCUGUGCGCAUACGAAUGGAGGGAUAAAGUGUUAUCGAAAUGAGAUUGUUAAGAUAAAUGGGAAAGCAAUGAAGCUAUCAAAGGCGAUGAAUCUCGAUGGGAAAAGUUGCAAGGGAAAAUCCAUAAUCUUUCGACACCAUGAUGAAUUGGACUAACUUCUGCCGAAUGAAAGUUAAUUGUUCCAUCGUUUCUUCGAUACCUCUCCACCGAUUUCAACGAACAUGAUACAACGAAGCUAGCGACGCCGGCAGACGGAUAGCGAAGAAAACGGAGGCUACGUGGAAAUCUUCGGGACGCCAAGUGAAUUAUUGUCAGUCUAGCCAAGAGAAGAAUAGCGUCGUGGAUCCUUGACACUUUGACAGUCGUCGGGACGCAAGGUAGACGCGCAAGGGAAGGGAAAGGGUGGAGCAAAGAGUGGAAAACCGCGACCAUCCCCUUACUCUCGUCUUCCUCCUCCUCGUCUAUACUCGUCAUUGACAGCUGUCAGCCGUCAGCGUUGGAAAGUUUUACGAGGACGAAAGUUGAU